This 273-nucleotide ribosomal RNA is filed under the name uncultured bacterium. RNAcentral's name for it is "partial 16S ribosomal RNA". It matches the Rfam family "Bacterial small subunit ribosomal RNA", at positions 523 to 796 of the family's 1533-position model. The record is from RNAcentral.
AUACAGAGGGUGCGAGCGUUAAUCGGAAUUACUGGGCGUAAAGCGCGCGUAGGCGGCUUAUUAAGUCAGAUGUGAAAUCCCCGGGCUCAACCUGGGAACUGCAUCUGAUACUGGUAAGCUAGAGUUUUAGAGAGGGAAGUAGAAUUUCAGGUGUAGCGGUGAAAUGCAUAGAGAUCUGAAGGAAUACCAGUGGCGAAGCGACUUCCUGGCCAAAAACUGACGCUGAGGUGCGAAAGCGUGGGUAGCAAACGGAAUUAGAUACCCUAGUAGUCC